AGAUGGCGACCGGCGCACGGGUGAGUAACACGUAUCCAACCUGCCGAUAACUCGGGGAUAGCCUUUCGAAAGAAAGAUUAAUACCCGAUGGCAUAAUAGAACCGCAUGGUUUGAUUAUUAAAGAAUUUCGGUUAUCGAUGGGGAUGCGUUCCAUUAGGCAGUUGGUGGGGUAACGGCCCACCAAACCUUCGAUGGAUAGGGGUUCUGAGAGGAAGGUCCCCCACACUGGAACUGAGACACGGUCCAA
RNAcentral lists this ribosomal RNA (247 nucleotides) under uncultured bacterium. Its description in RNAcentral is "partial 16S ribosomal RNA". It matches the Rfam family "Bacterial small subunit ribosomal RNA", at positions 86 to 334 of the family's 1533-position model. The record is from RNAcentral.